UUCCUCUCUUUUGGGGAAAUGGAAACAGAACGUCUUGCCCCUUUGACUGUUGGAGUUAGUCUAGCAGCGAGCCUCUCUUCUUGAGCUUUGUUUGGAAGAGUGCUGCACCAGACACACAGGUGCUCACACCUGGAAAGCUGCACCAGACACACAGGUGCUCACACCUGGAAAGGCACACCAGCAACAGGUGUUCACACCUGGGAAGCUGCACCAGACACACGGGUGCUCACACCUGGAAAGG
Acomys russatus (golden spiny mouse) is the source of this 241-nucleotide long non-coding RNA. RefSeq lists it as uncharacterized. The transcript is spliced from 3 exons. NCBI's taxonomy places the organism in Eukaryota, Metazoa, Chordata, Mammalia, Rodentia, Muridae. The record is from RefSeq and is a predicted model, not a curated record.